UUGAAAGGGAAACGAUUGAAGUCAGUCGUACCUUUGGGUAAUCAGCCUUUUGGGUGUGAUUUUGUGGAGUGUGGGGAGUUAAACGCCUUCAUGCCUGCAUAUUCGUGCACUUUGGGUGUAUUUGCCCGUGUGGUAAGUUAACAUCAAUUUUGGUGGUCAUAAAAUGGCUGGAGGAAUGUAGCUUCGAUCUCGUAUUGAAGUGUUAUAGCCUUCGGUAGGUGUGAUUAUCGGGAUUGAGGAUUGCAACGGAUACCCUUCGGGGCUACCUGUCUGAUCUCUGAUCGUUGCUCUGGUGCCGAAAGCUUGCUUACGGUUAUCAAAGUCGAUGGUCAAUAGGUUAGAACGGGUUAAAUUCGUUAAGGAUGUUGACGUA
Molecule: ribosomal RNA, 373 nt
Filed under: uncultured Glomeromycotina
Lineage: Eukaryota; Fungi; Glomeromycota
Description: LSU rRNA
Source: RNAcentral